CUUUUAUAUCCAGCGCCCUGAGCGGUCGCUCCACUCGCCCUACCCUAACGCCAGCACUGAGCAAAAAGGAUGGCGGAAAUAGACUCAGACUCCAAAUCCCUGCUCCAGCUGCUUAAGCAGUACAAAUCCUGCUGCGCCAUUUCUCAAUAAAUCAUAUUUUCUCUUGGAUGUAGGCUGUUAUGAAGAAAUUACUUUCCUUAUUAGAUAAUAUCCAACC
This is a long non-coding RNA of Melitaea cinxia (Glanville fritillary), 217 nucleotides long. RefSeq lists it as uncharacterized. The record is from RefSeq and is a predicted model, not a curated record. The transcript is spliced from 2 exons. Lineage: Eukaryota; Metazoa; Arthropoda; Insecta; Lepidoptera; Nymphalidae.